GACUUCGUAGCUCAGCUGGUAGAGCGUUUUGCCGCGUAGAGGCAUGUUUUUUCCGUAGCUGGUUCGAAUCCAGCCGAAGCCC
Molecule: non-coding RNA, 82 nt
Organism: Paragonimus heterotremus
Lineage: Eukaryota; Metazoa; Platyhelminthes; Trematoda; Plagiorchiida; Troglotrematidae
Source: the annotation of a GenBank genome assembly